RNAcentral lists this ribosomal RNA (497 nucleotides) under uncultured bacterium. Its description in RNAcentral is "partial 16S ribosomal RNA". It matches the Rfam family "Bacterial small subunit ribosomal RNA", at positions 28 to 507 of the family's 1533-position model. The record is from RNAcentral.
GAUGAACGCUGGCGGCGUGCCUAAUACAUGCAAGUCGAGCGAACAGACGAGGAGCUUGCUCCUCUGACGUUAGCGGCGGACGGGUGAGUAACACGUGGAUAACCUACCUAUAAGACUGGGAUAACUUCGGGAAACCGGAGCUAAUACCGGAUAAUAUAUUGAACCGCAUGGUUCAAUAGUGAAAGACGGUUUUGCUGUCACUUAUAGAUGGAUCCGCGCCGCAUUAGCUAGUUGGUAAGGUAACGGCUUACCAAGGCAACGAUGCGUAGCCGACCUGAGAGGGUGAUCGGCCACACUGGAACUGAGACACGGUCCAGACUCCUACGGGAGGCAGCAGUAGGGAAUCUUCCGCAAUGGGCGAAGGCCUGACGGAGCAACGCCGCGUGAGUAAUGAAGGUCUUCGGAUCGUAAAACUCUGUUAUUAGGGAAGAACAAAUGUGUAAGUAACUGUGCACGUCUUGACGGUACCUAAUCAGAAAGCCACGGCUAACUACGUG